CCUAUCUGCCGUGGGCGCUGGAGAAUUGAGGGGGGCUGCUCCUAGUACGAGAGGACCGGAGUGGACGCAUCACUGGUGUUCGGGUUGUCAUGCCAAUGGCACUGCCCGGUAGCUAAAUGCGGAAGAGAUAAGUGCUGAAAGCAUCUAAGCACGAAACUUGCCCCGAGAUGAGUUCUCCCUGAGACUUUAAGUCUCCUGAAGGAACGUUAAAGACGAUGACGUUGAUAGGCCGGGUGUGUAAGCGCAGCGAUGCGUUGAGCUAACCGGUACUAAUGAACCGUGAGGCUUAACCUU
RNAcentral lists this ribosomal RNA (294 nucleotides) under Pseudomonas aeruginosa. RNAcentral describes it as "partial 23S ribosomal RNA". It matches the Rfam family "Bacterial large subunit ribosomal RNA", at positions 2637 to 2925 of the family's 2925-position model. Lineage: Bacteria; Pseudomonadati; Pseudomonadota; Gammaproteobacteria; Pseudomonadales; Pseudomonadaceae. The record is from RNAcentral.